UCCGGUUUGUCACCGGCAGUCUCGCAUGAGUCCCCGGCUUUACCCGCUGGCAACAUGCGACGGGGGUUGCGCUCGUUGCGAGACUUAACCCAGCAUCUCACGACACGAGCUGACGACAGCCAUGCACCACCUGUGAUCGCGUCCCGAAGGAAAGGUGUGUUUCCACACCGGUCGCGAACAUGUCAAGCCCAGGUAAGGUUCUUCGCGUUGCGUCGAAUUAAACCACAUGCUCCGCUGCUUGUGCGGGCCCCCGUCGAUUCCUUUGAGUUUCAAUCUUGCGAUCGUACUUCCCAGGUGGGAUACUUAAUGCUUUCGCUCAGACACACACUGUGUAUCGCGUAUGUCGAGUAUCCAUAGUUUAGGGCGUGGACUAC
This 374-nucleotide unclassified non-coding RNA is filed under the name uncultured bacterium. Its description in RNAcentral is "contains 16S-23S intergenic spacer region". The record is from RNAcentral.